RNAcentral lists this small RNA (170 nucleotides) under Klebsiella oxytoca. RNAcentral's name for it is "RtT sRNA". The stretch from base 1 to 66 matches the Rfam family "tRNA". The record is from RNAcentral. Lineage: Bacteria; Pseudomonadati; Pseudomonadota; Gammaproteobacteria; Enterobacterales; Enterobacteriaceae. RNAcentral also lists the same sequence under 1 other name.
UAGCUCAGUUGGUAGAGCAGUUGACUUUUAAUCAAUUGGUCGCAGGUUCGAAUCCUGCACGACCCACCAAUCGUUCUGGUGGAACGCGAUAGUAAAACGUGAAGGAUAACGUUGCGUCAGCAGCGGCACGUAGGGCGAGGCGAAGCCGAGUCAUCCUGCACGAGCCACCG